GAGCAUUCAUAAAAUAAUCCACUUGCCAAAAUAGUAACAGAUAACAAAAUUAACGCAUAUAACAAAACCUCAAAUUUAAUAAAUACAUGUUGCGAAUGUAAGCAACAUAACUGCCAAAGUCUAAAUUGAUUUAUGGCAUACCGAGUGGUACUCUGCAUGUCCUUUUCCCCAACCAUGAUAGCUUAGACACACCUUGCAUGUUGGGUUAAAACUCAUGGUGACCCAAACCCUCAAGUUGUACAUGUGUUGGUUUGGUUCAAUUAUUAAGUUAUGUUUUUUACUUUCAAUGCUAUACAGGAAAGGUAUAGCAUCACAAUUGCUAUUGGUGGAUGAAGUAAUUCGUGUCGGGCGUCCUGUAAGGGCCCCAAACCUCAAUGACAAUAUUCAGGAAGGGAAGAGCUAAUGAAUCAAAUGAGGGACUAUAUGCAGAAGCCAACUUAGAUGUUCUUUCUCACCUGAAGUCCCUCUUUUGAAUAGGGUUUGCCAUGAGCUUUAUUUUGAGUUGACAUCUCAACAAUGAGGAUUGUUAUGAAUUGUUUGCUUACUUUGAAAAUGAAGCAUUUAUAUUUUGUUUUCUUUUCUUUUUGAAGGACAUAUUAGUAUGAUGUCUAUCAUGACCGAAUUUUGGGCUGCUUUACAAGUUUUUUAAGCAUAAUUUGUUAUAGAUGUUGGAAAUGUGGUUCAUCUUCGAAAGUUUAUUUGUUUUAGUUCAUGAGGAGCAGGUGUAACUUUCACCUGUAAUGUAUGACUCGUGUGAUUUUAGUGGAUACAUUUUUACCAGCAUCAAUCUGGAAAUUAAAAUGAUAUUAUAUCAUGCAAGUAGAAAAACCGUAGUUUAAU
Molecule: long non-coding RNA, 840 nt
Filed under: Trifolium pratense (red clover)
Lineage: Eukaryota; Viridiplantae; Streptophyta; Magnoliopsida; Fabales; Fabaceae
Description: long non-coding RNA (TPRA_LNC011606)
Source: RNAcentral